GACAAUCACUUGGACAAAGAAGGAGCUGCACAUUCACGGAUUUUCUUGGGGCUUUUGGGACACCAAAAUCUGACCUUUUAGCACACAAGUAAGGAGUUGGUGAAGAGCACAAUCUCGAUCAAAGUUUGGAAUUCUAGACACUUCACUUGAGGUUCUGAAAUGCAUGAAGUCUUGGAGAACUAGAACAGAAAUGUUAUAUUUUGAAUGCCCACUUUUGUAAUUGUAUUUUUGGAAACGUUAGUAUCUUUUGGAUGAUUUUUGUGUUUUUGGGAAAAUGUGAAUCCUGUGGUGCUUCUGUGCCCUGGAUUAGGAACUUUAAAUUGUAAAUUAAGUUGAAUUUAAGUAUACUAAGCUCGACGUUUUCGUUGGUACUUGGAAUUGUGUUUUGGGCUGUAUAAGUUGAAUUGUAUGAAUUAUUUAAGUACGUGACUUGCUCGAGAAGUAAGGUUUAUUUUCGA
This is a non-coding RNA of Coffea arabica (coffee), 458 nucleotides long. The record is from RefSeq and is a predicted model, not a curated record. NCBI's taxonomy places the organism in Eukaryota, Viridiplantae, Streptophyta, Magnoliopsida, Gentianales, Rubiaceae.